RNAcentral lists this transfer RNA (87 nucleotides) under Planctomycetota bacterium. RNAcentral describes it as "Planctomycetes bacterium tRNA-Leu". It matches the Rfam family "tRNA". Rfam says of the family: Transfer RNA (tRNA) molecules are approximately 80 nucleotides in length. Their secondary structure includes four short double-helical elements and three loops (D, anti-codon, and T loops). Lineage: Bacteria; Pseudomonadati; Planctomycetota. The record is from RNAcentral.
GCCAGGGUGGCGGAAUUGGUAGACGCGACGGAUUCAAAAUCCGUUUCCCGCAAGGGAGUAGGGGUUCAAGUCCCCUCCUUGGUACCA